This 501-nucleotide ribosomal RNA is filed under the name uncultured bacterium. RNAcentral's name for it is "bacterial SSU rRNA". It matches the Rfam family "Bacterial small subunit ribosomal RNA", at positions 26 to 518 of the family's 1533-position model. The record is from RNAcentral.
AGGAUGAACGCUAGCUACAGGCUUAACACAUGCAAGUCGAGGGGCAGCAUUGGAGUAGCAAUACUCAGAUGGCGACCGGCGCACGGGUGAGUAACACGUAUCCAACCUGCCGCUUACUCGGGGAUAGCCUUUCGAAAGAAAGAUUAAUACCCGAUGGUAUAAAGAGUUCGCAUGUUCUCUUUAUUAAAGAAUUUCGGUAAGCGAUGGGGAUGCGUUCCAUUAGAUAGUUGGCGGGGUAACGGCCCACCAAGUCUACGAUGGAUAGGGGGUUCUGAGAGGAAGGUCCCCCACAUUGGAACUGAGACACGGUCCAAACUCCUACGGGAGGCAGCAGUGAGGAAUAUUGGUCAAUGGACGAGAGUCUGAACCAGCCAAAGUAGCGUGAAGGAUGACUGCCCUAUGGGUUGUAAACUUCUUUUAUAAGGGAAUAAAGUGAGGGACGUGUCCCUUCUUGUAUGUACCUUAUGAAUAAGGAUCGGCUAACCCCGUGCCAGCCGCCGC